UUUAGCAAACGCAAACGACUCACAUUCGCCGUCACAUGAAUGGGGUGCCCGACGCGUCGGGUUCAUUCAUGGGGCGAAUGGCGGUUUAAC
Molecule: small RNA, 90 nt
Filed under: Sulfurivirga caldicuralii
Lineage: Bacteria; Pseudomonadati; Pseudomonadota; Gammaproteobacteria; Thiotrichales; Piscirickettsiaceae
Description: t44 RNA
Rfam family: t44 RNA
About the family: This family consists of a number of bacterial RNA genes of between 135 and 170 bases in length. The t44 gene is found between the map and rpsB genes in all species in the full alignment apart from Shigella flexneri.
Source: Rfam by way of RNAcentral